RNAcentral lists this small RNA (5513 nucleotides) under Pongo abelii (Sumatran orangutan). Its description in RNAcentral is "retained intron". Lineage: Eukaryota; Metazoa; Chordata; Mammalia; Primates; Hominidae. The record is from RNAcentral.
UCCGUGGACGUGACCUACGACGGCAGCCCCGUGCCCAGUAGCCCCUUCCAGGUGCCCGUGACUGAGGGCUGCGACCCCUCCCGGGUGCGUGUCCACGGGCCAGGCAUCCAAAGUGGCACCACCAACAAGCCCAACAAGUUCACUGUGGAGACCAGGUAAGGGAGUCCCCAGGAGCCUGUGUGGCUGGUGGGCCUGGGAACCCCAGGAACGACCGGCUAUCUGUUUGGACCAGGGGAGCUGGCACGGGCGGCCUGGGCCUGGCUGUAGAGGGCCCCUCCGAGGCCAAGAUGUCCUGCAUGGAUAACAAGGACGGCAGCUGCUCGGUCGAGUACAUCCCUUAUGAGGCUGGCACCUACAGCCUCAACGUCACCUAUGGUGGCCAUCAAGUGCCAGGCAGUCCUUUCAAGGUCCCUGUGCAUGAUGUGACAGAUGCGUCCAAAGUCAAGUGCUCUGGGCCCGGCCUGAGCCCAGGCAUGGUUCGUGCCAACCUCCCUCAGUCCUUCCAGGUGGACACAAGCAAGGCUGGUGUGGCCCCACUGCAGGUCAAAGUGCAAGGGCCCAAAGGCCUGGUGGAGCCAGUGGACGUGGUAGACAACGCUGAUGGCACCCAGACCGUCAAUUACGUGCCCAGCCGAGAAGGGCCCUACAGCAUCUCAGUACUGUAUGGAGAUGAAGAGGUACCCCGGAGCCCCUUCAAGGUCAAGGUGCUGCCUACUCAUGAUGCCAGCAAGGUGAAGGCCAGUGGCCCCGGGCUCAACACCACUGGCGUGCCUGCCAGCCUGCCCGUGGAAUUCACCAUCGAUGCAAAGGACGCAGGGGAGGGCCUGCUGGCUGUCCAGAUCACGGAUCCCGAAGGCAAGCCGAAGAAGACACACAUCCAAGACAACCAUGACGGCACGUAUACAGUGGCCUACGUGCCAGACGUGACGGGUCGCUACACCAUCCUCAUCAAGUAUGGUGGUGACGAGAUCCCCUUCUCCCCGUACCGCGUGCGUGCCGUGCCCACCGGGGACGCCAGCAAGUGUACAGUCACAGGUGCUGGCAUCGGCCCCACCAUUCAGAUUGGGGAGGAGACGGUGAUCACUGUGGACACUAAGGCGGCAGGCAAAGGCAAAGUGACGUGCACCGUGUGCACGCCUGAUGGCUCGGAGGUGGAUGUGGACGUGGUGGAGAAUGAGGACGGCACUUUCGACAUCUUCUACACGGCCCCCCAGCCGGGCAAAUACGUCAUCUGUGUGCGCUUUGGUGGCGAGCACGUGCCCAACAGCCCCUUCCAAGUGACGGCUCUGGCUGGGGACCAGCCCUCGGUGCAGCCCCCUCUACGGUCUCAGCAGCUGGCCCCACAGUACACCUACGCCCAGGGCGGCCAGCAGACUUGGGCCCCGGAGAGGCCCCUGGUGGGUGUCAAUGGGCUGGAUAUGACCAGCCUGAGGCCCUUUGACCUUGUCAUCCCCUUCACCAUCAAGAAGGGCGAGAUCACAGGGGAGGUUCGGAUGCCCUCAGGCAAGGUGGCGCAGCCCACCAUCACUGACAACAAAGACGGCACCGUGACCGUGCGGUAUGCACCCAGCGAGGCUGGCCUGCACGAGAUGGAUAUCCGCUAUGACAACAUGCACAUCCCAGGAAGCCCCUUGCAGUUCUAUGUGGAUUACGUCAACUGUGGCCAUGUCACUGCCUAUGGGCCUGGCCUCACCCAUGGAGUAGUGAACAAGCCUGCCACCUUCACCGUCAACACCAAGGAUGCAGGAGAGGGGGGCCUGUCCCUGGCCAUCGAGGGCCCGUCCAAAGCAGAAAUCAGCUGCACUGACAACCAGGAUGGGACAUGCAGCGUGUCCUACCUGCCUGUGCUGCCAGGUGACUACAGCAUUCUAGUCAAGUACAAUGAACAGCACAUCCCAGGCAGCCCCUUCACUGCCCGGGUCACAGGUGACGACUCCAUGCGUAUGUCCCACCUAAAGGUGGGCUCUGCUGCCGACAUCCCCAUCAACAUCUCAGAGACGGAUCUCAGCCUGCUGACGGCCACUGUGGUCCCGCCCUCGGGCCGGGAGGAGCCCUGUUUGCUGAAGCGGCUGCGUAAUGGCCACGUGGGGAUUUCAUUCGUGCCCAAGGAGACAGGGGAGCACCUGGUGCAUGUGAAGAAAAAUGGCCAGCACGUGGCCAGCAGCCCCAUCCCGGUGGUGAUCAGCCAGUCGGAAAUUGGGGAUGCCAGUCGCGUUCGGGUCUCUGGUCAGGGCCUUCACGAAGGCCACACCUUUGAGCCUGCAGAGUUUAUCAUUGAUACCCGAGAUGCAGGUAGGCAGUGGCUGCCCACCAGCUGGGGUGGGAGCACUGUGCAUAGCACCGAAGCUCAGGGGUAUCCAUCCCCUAGGCUAUGGUGGGCUCAGCCUGUCCAUUGAGGGCCCCAGCAAGGUCGACAUCAACACAGAGGACCUGGAGGACGGGACGUGCAGGGUCACCUACUGCCCCACAGAGCCAGGCAACUACAUCAUCAACAUCAAGUUUGCCGACCAGCACGUGCCUGGCAGCCCCUUCUCUGUGAAGGUGACAGGCGAGGGCCGGGUGAAAGAGAGCAUCACCCGCAGGCGUCGGGCUCCUUCAGUGGCCAACGUUGGUAGUCAUUGUGACCUCAGCCUGAAGAUCCCUGAAAUUAGCAUCCAGGAUAUGACAGCCCAGGUAACCAGCCCAUCGGGCAAGACCCAUGAGGCCGAGAUCGUGGAAGGGGAGAACCACACCUACUGUAUCCGCUUUGUUCCUGCUGAGAUGGGCACACACACAGUCAGCGUCAAGUACAAGGGCCAGCACGUGCCUGGGAGCCCCUUCCAGUUCACCGUGGGGCCCCUAGGGGAAGGGGGAGCCCACAAGGUCCGAGCUGGGGGCCCUGGCCUGGAGAGAGCUGAAGCUGGAGUGCCAGCCGAAUUCAGUAUCUGGACCCGGGAAGCUGGCGCCGGAGGCCUGGCCAUUGCUGUCGAGGGCCCCAGCAAGGCUGAGAUCUCUUUUGAGGACCGCAAGGACGGCUCCUGUGGUGUGGCUUAUGUGGUCCAGGAGCCAGGUGACUACGAAGUCUCAGUCAAGUUCAACGAGGAACACAUUCCCGACAGCCCCUUCGUGGUGCCUGUGGCUUCUCCGUCUGGUGACGCCCGCCGCCUCACUGUUUCUAGCCUUCAGGUGAGGCACCGAGAGAAACCGCCCACCUGGGGCUCCUGGGCCCGGACAGACCAGAGCUACCGCAGAGAGCAGGCCUUGGCCCUGUGUUCAGUGACCCCCCCCUGGCCCAGCUCUGGGUUCCAGGCCUCUGCUCUGGCCGGGUGCAGCCCACGCUUGGGGUCGGCAGGAAAUAUCCUGCCCACCACGUGGAGUUUUUCUCGUGUCUCAGGUCUAAAGGCUUUGAACAGAAGCCUGUGCCCCUUGAGCACCAGGGCUGUGGUUUAAAGAGGGACAGCCUGCCAAGGCUGGGUGCUGCCCACAGGGUGGGGCAGCCCUCCCUUCCUGCCACCUGGGUGUGUGCGACGGCAGAGUGUGGGGGCAGGGGCGGGGAUGUGCGCCUGUGGCUUGCUGCCCCUUGCAAAUCAGUGGCUCUCCCUCUUUAAACCAAGUUGGACGCCAGAUGGGUAAGUGCGACCUGUGGGCCUCUUGCUCCUGGCCUCUUGCUCCUUCGUCCCUUGCCUUGGCCCAAGCCCCGCCAUCUAACCAUGUCUGCUGUGCUUCCAGGAGUCAGGGCUAAAGGUCAACCAGCCAGCCUCUUUUGCAGUCAGCCUGAACGGGGCCAAGGGGGCGAUCGAUGCCAAGGUGCACAGCCCCUCAGGAGCCCUGGAGGAGUGCUAUGUCACAGAAAUUGACCAAGGUGAGGCCCUGUCCCUGCCCGGCCGCCCUGCCCUGCUGGCUGGAAGCAGGCUGAGAGUACAAAAGGAAGGUACCGCUUCUGUAAGCAGCCAAGAUGGGGCCCCAACUCCUGGGCCCCCUAAGCCAGGCAACCCUUUCCCAAUUGGUGACCCAAGCCGUUGGGGAUGUGGCUCGCCACCCACAGCUAUUAGGAAGGCCUUCUACCCUGCAGUACCAUCUCCACAGGGAAAGACUCAAAGUCCAGCCUCAGUGCUGCCCGGCCCUUCAGCCACGGCCAUGCUACUUGAGCACAGGUGUAGGAGGAGCCCAGUGGGCUUCAUUUCACAGCCUAGUCCUGCCCUUCCCAGCUGCAUGACCUGAAGCAAGUUCCUGCCUGUCUCUGAGCCCGUUAACAUGCAGGGGAUAUGGUGUUCACGGUAACCUUUCUUAGGAGGCAGCGAGGCCUGGGUUUGGCUUGUAAAACAUUUCCGUCCCAAUGCACCCUGACAGUGGGCAGCUUGAGUGUCUAAAGCUUCGGCCCUCAGGAGGUCUGCUGCGGGGUGCAGGUGCCCAGCAUGGCUGGGCUCACACUGAUGGACUGGCAAAAUGGGGAUGGGCAGGGUCGAGGCUGUUCCUCACAGACACACCAUCUGCUGGUUUGAGGAGGGGCCCCAGGCCCACAGCAUGGCUCCCUGCUCCUCAGAUAAGUAUGCUGUGCGCUUCAUCCCUCGGGAGAAUGGCGUUUACCUGAUUGACGUCAAGUUCAACGGCACCCACAUCCCUGGAAGCCCCUUCAAGAUCCGAGUUGGGGAGCCUGGGCAUGGAGGGGACCCAGGCUUGGUGUCUGCUUACGGAGCAGGUCUGGAAGGCGGUGUCACAGGGAACCCAGCUGAGUUCAUCGUGAACACGAGCAAUGCGGGAGCUGGUGCCCUGUCAGUGACCAUUGACGGCCCCUCCAAGGUGAAGAUGGAUUGCCAGGAGUGCCCUGAGGGCUACCGCGUCACCUAUACCCCCAUGGCACCUGGCAGCUACCUCAUCUCCAUCAAGUACGGCGGCCCCUACCACAUUGGGGGCAGCCCCUUCAAGGCCAAAGUCACAGGUCCCCGUCUCGUCAGCAACCACAGCCUCCACGAGACAUCAUCGGUGUUUGUAGACUCUCUGACCAAGGCCACCUGUGCCCCCCAGCAUGGGGCCCCGGGUCCUGGGCCUGCUGACGCCAGCAAGGUGGUGGCCAAGGGCCUGGGGCUGAGCAAGGCCUACAUAGGCCAGAAGAGCAGCUUCACAGUAGACUGCAGCAAAGCAGGCAACAACAUGCUGCUGGUGGGGGUUCAUGGCCCAAGGACCCCCUGCGAGGAGAUCCUGGUGAAGCACGUGGGCAGCCGGCUCUACAGCGUGUCCUACCUGCUCAAGGACAAGGGGGAGUACACACUGGUGGUCAAAUGGGGCGAUGAGCACAUCCCCGGCAGCCCCUACCGCGUUGUGGUACCCUGAGUCUGGGGCCCGUGCCAGCCAGCAGCCCCCAAGCCUGCCCCACUACCCAAGCAGCCCCGCCCUCCUCCCCUCAACCCUGGCCCCUGGGCCGCCCUGGCCGCCCGCCUGUCACUGCAGCCGCCCCUGCCCUGUGCCGUGCUGCGCUCACCUGCCUCCCCAGCCAGCCGCUGACCUCUCGGCUUUCACUUGGGCAGAGGGAGCCA